UACGGAGGAUCCGAGCGUUAUCCGGAUUUAUUGGGUUUAAAGGGUGCGUAGGCGGUUUGAUAAGUUAGAGGUGAAAUGUCGGGGCUCAACCCCGAAACUGCCUCUAAUACUGUUGGACUAGAGAAUAGUUGCGGUAGGCGGAAUGUAUGGUGUAGCGGUGAAAUGCUUAGAGAUCAUACAGAACACCGAUUGCGAAGGCAGCUUACCAAACUAUAUCUGACGUUGAGGCACGAAAGCGUGGGGAGCGAACAGG
Molecule: ribosomal RNA, 253 nt
Filed under: uncultured bacterium
Lineage: Bacteria
Description: partial 16S ribosomal RNA
Rfam family: Bacterial small subunit ribosomal RNA
Source: RNAcentral